UACGUAGGGUGCGAGCGUUGUCCGGGAUUAUUGGGCGUAAAGAGCUCGUAGGCGGUCUGUCGCGUCGGAUGUGAAAAUCCAGGGCUCAACCCUGGACCUGCAUUCGAUACGGGCAGACUAGAGUUCGGUAGGGGAGACUGGAAUUCCUGGUGUAGCGGUGAAAUGCGCAGAUAUCAGGAGGAACACCGGUGGCGAAGGCGGGUCUCUGGGCCGAAACUGACGCUGAGGAGCGAAAGCGUGGGGAGCAAACAGG
Molecule: ribosomal RNA, 253 nt
Filed under: uncultured bacterium
Lineage: Bacteria
Description: partial 16S ribosomal RNA
Rfam family: Bacterial small subunit ribosomal RNA
Source: RNAcentral